RNAcentral lists this ribosomal RNA (593 nucleotides) under Heterosigma akashiwo. RNAcentral describes it as "eukaryotic LSU rRNA". It matches the Rfam family "Eukaryotic large subunit ribosomal RNA", at positions 86 to 637 of the family's 3401-position model. Lineage: Eukaryota; Raphidophyceae; Chattonellales; Chattonellaceae. The record is from RNAcentral.
ACGGCGAGUGAAGCGGGAAGAGCUCAUGUUGUAAAUCUCCAGCUUGCUGGCGAAUUGUAGUCUAAAGGUGCGUGCUCAGUCGUGGUCCCGGGCUAAGUCUGUUGGAAAACAGCAUCAUGGACGGUGACAAUCCGGUUCUUGCCUGGGGUCCCGCGGCGUACGAGCCGUUUCCGACGAGUCGUGUUGCUUGGGAUUGCAGCACUAAGUGGGUGGUAAAUUCCAUCUAAAGCUAAAUAUUGGUGGGAGACCGAUAGCGAACAAGUACCGUGAGGGAAAGAUGAAAAGACUUUUGAAAAGAGAGUAAAAUAGUACCUGAAACUGCUGAAAGGGAAGCGAUUGAAGUCAGUGUUGCUCCUGGUCUUUUUGCCGUCGCCCCCGUGGGGGUUGCGGCGUGGGGCCUGGAGCGUUUCAACAUGCGUUCUGUUCCGCGGGAAAUGUUCAGUGUGCUGGAACCUUCGGGGAAACGCACUGUUCUUGUCGUGGUUAGGACGGAGGACCUUUGCUCCUUUGACUGCGCGUUCCUCUCUCGGGUAUGCUGGUGUCUACUGCUUGCAGUUUUCAUUUUCAUGCUUGCGACUGUGCGUGUAUCAUGA